This 253-nucleotide ribosomal RNA is filed under the name uncultured bacterium. Its description in RNAcentral is "partial 16S ribosomal RNA". It matches the Rfam family "Bacterial small subunit ribosomal RNA", at positions 524 to 776 of the family's 1533-position model. The record is from RNAcentral.
UACAGAGGUGGCAAGCGUUGUUCGGAAUUACUGGGCGUAAAGCGCGCGUAGGCGGCCUUGCAAGUUAGAGGUGAAAGCCCGGAGCUCAACUCCGGAACUGCCUUUAAAACUGCAUAGCUUGAAUCCGGGAGAGGUGAGUGGAAUUCCGAGUGUAGAGGUGAAAUUCGUAGAUAUUCGGAAGAACACCAGUGGCGAAGGCGGCUCACUGGACCGGUAUUGACGCUGAGGUGCGAAAGCGUGGGGAGCAAACAGG